AGUGAACGCUGGCGGUAGGCCUAACACAUGCAAGUCGAACGGCAGCACAGUAAGAGCUUGCUCUUACGGGUGGCGAGUGGCGGACGGGUGAGGAAUACAUCGGAAUCUACUUUUUCGUGGGGGAUAACGUAGGGAAACUUACGCUAAUACCGCAUACGACCUACGGGUGAAAGCAGGGGAUCUUCGGACCUUGCGUGAUUGAAUGAGCCGAUGUCGGAUUAGCUAGUUGGCGGGGUAAAGGCCCACCAAGGCGACGAUCCGUAGCUGGUCUGAGAGGAUGAUCAGCCACACUGGAACUGAGACACGGUCCAGACUCCUACGGGAGGCAGCAGUGGGGAAUAUUGGACAAUGGGCGCAAGCCUGAUCCAGCCAUACCGCGUGGGUGAAGAAGGUCUUCGGGUUGUAAAGCCCUUUUGUUGGGAAAGAAAAGCAGCAGGUUAAUACCCCGCUGUUCUGACGGUACCCAAAGAAUAAGCACCGGCUAACUUCGUG
Molecule: ribosomal RNA, 492 nt
Filed under: uncultured bacterium
Lineage: Bacteria
Description: partial 16S ribosomal RNA
Rfam family: Bacterial small subunit ribosomal RNA
Source: RNAcentral